GACGAACGCUGGCGGCGUGCUUAACACAUGCAAGUCGAACGGAAAGGCCCUGCUUUUGUGGGGUGCUCGAGUGGCGAACGGGUGAGUAACACGUGAGUAACCUGCCCUUGACUUUGGGAUAACUUCAGGAAACUGGGGCUAAUACCGGAUAGGAGCUCCUGCUGCAUGGUGGGGGUUGGAAAGUUUCGGCGGUUGGGGAUGGACUCGCGGCUUAUCAGCUUGUUGGUGGGGUAGUGGCUUACCAAGGCUUUGACGGGUAGCCGGCCUGAGAGGGUGACCGGCCACAAUGGGACUGAGAUACGGCGCAGACUGCUACGGGAGGCAGCGGGGGAGAAUAUUGCACAGUGGGCGGAAGCCUGAUGCGACAACGCCGCGUGCGGGAUGACGGCCUUCGGGUUGUAAACCGCUUUCGCCUGUGACGAAGCGUGAGUGACGGUAAUGGGUAAAGAAGCACCGGCUAACUACGUG
Molecule: ribosomal RNA, 468 nt
Filed under: uncultured bacterium
Lineage: Bacteria
Description: partial 16S ribosomal RNA
Rfam family: Bacterial small subunit ribosomal RNA
Source: RNAcentral